Long non-coding RNA from Acinonyx jubatus (cheetah), 2759 nucleotides. RefSeq lists it as uncharacterized. The record is from RefSeq and is a predicted model, not a curated record. NCBI's taxonomy places the organism in Eukaryota, Metazoa, Chordata, Mammalia, Carnivora, Felidae. The transcript has 2 exons.
AACAGAAUUUUUCACAGAACUAAAAUAAAUACUAAACUUUGUAUGGAACUACAAAGACCCCAAUAGCCAAAGCAGUCUUGAAAAAACAACAAAACUGGAGGUAUCACAACCCCAAAUUUCAAGAUAUACCACACACCUGUAGUAAUCAAAACAGUAUGGAAUUGUCACAAAUAUAGACACAUAUAUCAAUAGAACGUUAUAGAAACCCAGAAAUGAACCCACAAUUAUAUGGUCAAUUAAUCUUUGACAAAGGAGGAAUGAAUAUACAAUGGAAAAAAGUCUCUUCAAUAAAUGGUGUUGGAAGAACUGGAUAGCUACAUGCAAAAGAAUGAAACUGGACCACUUUCUUACACCAUACACAGAAAUAAAUUCAAAAUGGAUUAAAGACCUAAAUGUGAGACAUGAAACCAUAAAAAUCCUAGAAGAGAGCACAGACCGUAAUUUCCCUGACAUUAGCUGUAACAAUUUCUAGAUAGGUCUACGGAGGCAAGUGAAACAAAAAAUAAACUACACCAAAAUAAAAGCUUCUGUACUGCAAAGUAAACAACGAAGAAACAUGAAAGCCUGCUGAAUGGGAGAAGAUAUUUGCAAAUUACAUAUAUGAUAAAGGAUAUCCAAAUAUACAAAGAAUGUAUACAACUCAACAAAACAAAUAUUCCAGUUAAAAAAUGGGCAGAAGACAUGAACUGACUUUUCUCCAGAAGAGACCAACAGAUGGCCAACAGACAUAUGAAAAGAUACUCAGUAUCACUUAUCAUCAGGGAAUUGCAGAUCAAAACCACAAUGAGAAAUCUCUCACAUCUGUCAGUAUGGCUAAAAACUAAAAUACAAACAAUAACUGUUGGUGAGUAUGUGGAGAAAAACUGUUGGGAAUGCAAACUGGUACAGCCACAGUAGAAUAUAGUAUGGAGAUUCCUCAAAAAAUUAAAAAUAAAACUACCAUAUGAUCCACUGAUUUCACUACUGGAUGUUACCCAAAGAGUACAAAAACACUAAUUUGAAAAGAUAUAUGCACCUCUAUAUUUAUUGCAGCACUUCUUACAAUAACCAAACUAUGAAAGCAAUGCAAGUGUCCAUCAGGAGAUGAAUGGAUAAAGAAGAGGUUGUGUAUACAUACAAUGGAAUAGUAUUCAGUCAUUUAAAAAAUGAAAUCUUGCCAUUUGCAGCAUCGUGGGUAGAUCUACAGGAUAUAAUGCUAAGUGAAAUAAGUCAGAGAAAGACACAUACUGUAUGAUUUCACUCAUAUGUGAAAUUUAAGAAACAAAACAAAUGAACAAGGAAAAAAAGACAAUCCAAAAAAAAACCCAGACUCUGAACUAGAGAGCAAAGUGAUGGUUAUCAGAGAGGAGAUGGGCAGGAGGGGCGGUGCAUGACACAGGUAAAGGGGAUUAAGAGUCCACUUAUCUCAGUGAGCACUAACGUACAAAAUUCUUGAAUCACUGUAUUGUACACCUGAAACUAAUACUAUAUGUAAUAAAAAUUUUAAUAAAAAAUAAAAUAGGCAUCCCAGUCAGUUGUGCUUUUGCGCCCCUGCAAGUCACAGCUUUCUAAUUUAAUUUUGAGUAAAACAAGUUUGUGAAGAUUAAAAGUUUUCCAUAAUAGCCAUUGAGGUUCAAAAUUACUUUUGGCUAAGUUGAUCCAUUUAGUUAUAAUUAUACAUGCAUGAAGAUGAUAGAUUUUUUUUUUUUUUUUUUUUUUUUGAGAAGAGAGGGAAACAGAAUCCCAAGCAGCCUCUUCCCUGCCAGCACAGAGUCCGACGUGGGGCUCUAACCCACAAACCGCAAGAUCAUAACCUGAGCUGAAGUCAAGAAUCAGACACUGAACUGACUGAGCCACCCAGGCAUCCCAAUAAGAGACCCUUUUUUUUUAUGUUUAGUUUUGAGAGAGAGAGCGAGCAUGAAUGGGGGAGGGACAGAGAGAGAGAGGGAGACACAGAACUUGAAAUGGGUCCCACGCUCUGUACUAUCAGCACAGAGCCCAACGUGGGAUUUUUUUGUUCUUAUUUUAGAGAAUGAGUGAAUUGGGGAGAGGGGUAGAAGGAGAGAGAGAAUUUUAAGCAGGCUCCAUGCUCAGUGCAGAGCCCAAUGCAGGGCUUGAUCCCACCACCCUGGGAUCAUGACCAGAGCUGAAAUCAGGAGUAAGAUGCUCAAGUGAGCCACAGGCACUCCAGGACAUUAAAUUUUAAACAUAAAACCAGCCAGAGUCCCAGAAACAUGAGAAGUGGGGGGUACCCUCAAGCAUUUUGAUAACUGUUCUCCCAUUUCUUAGAGGCUUUUCUCUAGAGCAGAAAGAAAUUUCUAAACAGCACAGUUUCAGGGCGCAUGGAUGGCUGUCAGUUAAGCGUCCAACUUUGGCUCAGGUCAUGAUCUUGCAGUUUGUGAGUUCGAGCCCCACAUCAGGCUCUGUGCUGACAGCUCAGAACCUAAACCUGCUUUGGGUUCUCUGUCUUCCUCUCUCUUCCCCUCUCCCGCUUGUUCGUUUUCUCUCUCUCCCAAAAAAUAAAUAAUAAAACAUUUACAAAAAUAAAAAAAUAAACAGCACAGUUCCAACAGGAACAGUCUGGUUCUAAAAAGGAGGCAGACCAAAAGCUAGAACAGUUUCAGUAGGCACAGUCUGGUUCCAGGCAGGAGUCAAGCCAGAGACCAGCAUGGUUUCAUCAUGAAGAGUCUCGUGUCCUAAAAGGAGUCAGACCGAAGGCCACACAAGUACUCUCAGAGAUUGAAAAAACAAAAACACAAGGCCUGAAAACAGAUUGCAAA